GGACGAACGCUGGCGGCGUGCCUAAUACAUGCAAGUCGAACGAACGGAGGAAGAGCUUGCUCUUCCAAAGUUAGUGGCGGACGGGUGAGUAACACGUGGGCAACCUGCCUGUAAGUUGGGGAUAACUCCGGGAAACCGGGGCUAAUACCGAAUGAUAAAGUKUGGCGCAUGCCAYGCUUUUGAAAGAUGGUUUCGGCUAUCGCUUACAGAUGGGCCCGCGGUGCAUUAGCUAGUUGGUAGGGUAAUGGCCUACCAAGGCAACGAUGCAUAGCCGACCUGAGAGGGUGAUCGGCCACACUGGGACUGAGACACGGCCCAGACUCCUACGGGAGGCAGCAGUAGGGAAUCUUCCGCAAUGGACGAAAGUCUGACGGAGCAACGCCGCGUGUAUGAAGAAGGUUUUCGGAUCGUAAAGUACUGUUGUUAGAGAAGAACAAGGAUAAGAGUAACUGCUUGUCCCUUGACGGUAUCUAACCAGAAAGCCACGGCUAACUAC
RNAcentral lists this ribosomal RNA (496 nucleotides) under Listeria monocytogenes. RNAcentral describes it as "bacterial SSU rRNA". It matches the Rfam family "Bacterial small subunit ribosomal RNA", at positions 27 to 504 of the family's 1533-position model. Lineage: Bacteria; Bacillati; Bacillota; Bacilli; Caryophanales; Listeriaceae. The record is from RNAcentral.